Molecule: ribosomal RNA, 541 nt
Filed under: uncultured Gallionellaceae bacterium
Lineage: Bacteria; Pseudomonadati; Pseudomonadota; Betaproteobacteria; Nitrosomonadales; Gallionellaceae
Description: bacterial SSU rRNA
Rfam family: Bacterial small subunit ribosomal RNA
Source: RNAcentral
AAUGGGGGAUAACGUAGCGAAAGUUACGCUAAUACUGCAUAUGCCCUGAGGGGGAAAGUGGGGGAUCGCAAGACCUCACGUUUUCGGAGCGGCCGAUAUCAGAUUAGCUAGUUGGUGGGGUAAAGGCCUACCAAGGCGACGAUCUGUAGCUGGUCUGAGAGGACGACCAGCCACACUGGGACUGAGACACGGCCCAGACUCCUACGGGAGGCAGCAGUGGGGAAUUUUGGACAAUGGGGGAAACCCUGAUCCAGCCAUGCCGCGUGAGUGAAGAAGGCCUUCGGGUUGUAAAGCUCUUUCGGACAGAAAGAAAUCGCACAGGAUAAUACCUUGUGUGGAUGACGGUACUGUAAGAAGAAGCACCGGCUAACUACGUGCCAGCAGCCGCGGUAAUACGUAGGGUGCGAGCGUUAAUCGGAAUUACUGGGCGUAAAGCGUGCGCAGGCGGUUUAUUAAGACAGACGUGAAAUCCCCGGGCUCAACCUGGGAACUGCGUUUGUGACUGGUAGGCUAGAGUGUAGCAGAGGGGGGUAGAAUUCCA